This 811-nucleotide long non-coding RNA is filed under the name Triticum aestivum (bread wheat). Its description in RNAcentral is "long non-coding RNA (TAES_LNC004412)". Lineage: Eukaryota; Viridiplantae; Streptophyta; Magnoliopsida; Poales; Poaceae. The record is from RNAcentral.
ACAGUUAAGAAAUAUGAUUCAUGUUUGCUAUUGCAUUUGGAGCUCCAUCCUUACAACUUAUGGAUAAUAUGAAUACAUCAAGGUGUUUUGGUUCUCCCCAUUCCGUAUGUUCGCAAUGGAGUGUAUAUAUUGUUGAUUUAUGUCAUGGUGAUUGAAUUUGAUUGCAGAGAGAAAGUGCAAAAGCUAUGGGCAAUCCUAUAUGACUGGCGCCAUCAGUAAGGAUUUAUUUAAAGCUAGCUUACUUUUGGGUCUAAGCCAAGUUUAUUUCUUUCGCAGAUUUAUUCACCUUAUUGGGACGGUGGGGUUAAUAUAUAUACAUCAACUUUGAGCAUCAGCAACGCAUGAAGCUUGCUUCUGAGGCUGCAACAUACUUUGCAAUCCCCCUGUGAAACAUACUUUUGUCACUAUGCACAUAUGGUUAUUCGAACAGAUUGAUUUCGAUUAGACUAUCUUUUUCCUAAUUACUUGUUAUAUGAUGUUCUUUACUAUUCAGAGGUUGUUGAAGGGAGAUGGGGCUCUUCAGGCCCCUUUGGUGCAAAAGCACAAGCAACAACAUCUACAGCUGACCACUUAUAGCCUAGGAUGUCCUGCAGAUUUGAUCUAUUUUGGAUAGAGUACAUGGAAUCAAACCACAGGUAAUCAAUUUGCUAUAUUCAUGUGAUUAGCUAUAAGGAAUUUAUUACCUCUGUUUUAUUUGCAGGAUACCCAAGCAGUGCGUACAAAUUGUAGUGGUGCUUGUAGCUUAUCAUCAAUCUGCCAUUAUUAUUUGUAUGUAUGUGUUCAAAAUGACCACCUAGAGAUUCUUGAUUUG